CGCAGCUGUAUGGAGCACACCGCGUGAGUGAAGAAGGGUUUCGGCUCGUAAAGCUCUGUUGUUAAAGAAGAACACGUAUGAGAGUAACUGUUCAUACGUUGACGGUAUUUAACCAGAAAGUCACGGCUAACUACGUGCCAGCAGCCGCGGUAAUACGUAGGUGGCAAGCGUUAUCCGGAUUUAUUGGGCGUAAAGAGAGUGCAGGCGGUUUUCUAAGUCUGAUGUGAAAGCCUUCGGCUUAACCGGAGAAGUGCAUCGGAAACUGGAUAACUUGAGUGCAGAAGAGGGUAGUGGAACUCCAUGUGUAGCGGUGGAAUGCGUAGAUAUAUGGAAGAACACCAGUGGCGAAGGCGGCUACCUGGUCUGCAACUGACGCUGAGACUCGAAAGCAUGGGUAGCGAACAGGAUUAGAUACC
RNAcentral lists this ribosomal RNA (416 nucleotides) under Limosilactobacillus fermentum. RNAcentral describes it as "bacterial SSU rRNA". It matches the Rfam family "Bacterial small subunit ribosomal RNA", at positions 376 to 786 of the family's 1533-position model. The record is from RNAcentral. Lineage: Bacteria; Bacillati; Bacillota; Bacilli; Lactobacillales; Lactobacillaceae.